RNAcentral lists this ribosomal RNA (116 nucleotides) under Anolis carolinensis (green anole). Lineage: Eukaryota; Metazoa; Chordata; Lepidosauria; Squamata; Anolidae. The record is from RNAcentral.
GUUGAGAACCACUGCUCUAAAGGCACCAGAUCUCAUCUGAUCUUGAAAGUUAAGCAGGGUCAGUCCUACUUAGUACUUGGAUGUGAGACAGCAGUAAACACUAGGCGCUGUAGGCU